Molecule: long non-coding RNA, 519 nt
Organism: Panthera uncia (snow leopard)
Lineage: Eukaryota; Metazoa; Chordata; Mammalia; Carnivora; Felidae
Exons: 3
Source: RefSeq, a predicted model, not a curated record
UUGGACACUCCAACAGUCCCGCCCCUCGCAGGGCCCGCCGCAGCCCCGCCCCAUCUUUCCCAUAGCCCCGCCCUCCCUUUCUCUAACUGUUUUCUCCUCUUUUGCUGGCUAGGCAAUUGGAGGAUUGAACGUAAAGCUGGGGAUUUCCGUAAAGCUGCUCUGAGCAGGCGCCGUCUCGAGAACAGCCUUUAUUCUUGAGCCGGGUGUAAAACUUGUCAGCGGUUCUAUUACAGAGUAAAAAAUAAUACUUGGAAGGAUAAAGGGAAGAGGUACUAUAUAUUAACUCUACAAUCAGACUGGGUUCCAUUCUACUCCCAAGAAUUCUGUUAUAAUGGAACUGUGCUCCUAAAGAAAGGAUGACUUUUGCUAUAUAUUAUACGUCAAUGAACUGGACUUGAAAAAUUAAUGUUAGAGAGUGUUACCAAACCAAAGUGGACCCACUCCUUGGUGACUUACAGGCAGACUACACCAGGUGGAGUUGCCUCACAAGGUCAACUAUUUGUACAAACAAGGAGAUCA